AAUCAGAGUUGCAGGUCAGGAGCUUUUUCAUUUUCAUCAUUUUCAUUUUGAAGCUGGAUAUUUUCUCGAGGAUGCUGCUGCAUUCUCUCACUGCUGCAGUUGCAAACCGACAUCAGUAGUUAAGUUCCUGGUGAUGAUGUCUUAGCUUUUCUUCCUCUCAACGUUCUGUUGCCCUGCAUAUAAGUUCCACAUCUUUUGUCCUUUUUUCCGAUUUUAUUUUAUUCUUUCCACCCUACCUCAAGUCUUGGUGUGUUGGUUGACGUGUCGGUGUUUUCCAAUACUUGAGCCACCUCUGUUUGUGGUAAAUGUACCAGAGCUUCACCCUCAUUACCUGCUUGACCGAUGUCACUAACAUACGAGCACGACUCCUGCCCCUGCACACGAGUUUGCACAAAGUUUAUCUCAUUUUUUCCCUUAGCAUGUGUUUUUUUUGUUGUUUUUAAAAAUCAAUUUUAAAUGUUUCGCGCACCUGGGCAUUGAUGCUGUGAGAGCCUCUAUUUAGGUCAAUAUAACCCCGCAACAGCGCAACAUAAGAGAAGUUUGGCUUUUUCAUCAUCGUCAAUAUUUCUGUCGGUUUCCAGACGUAAUUUGCAAGGCAUAAAAAAUAAGCAAAAAAUAAGAAGCAUUUUUUUCAUCCAUUUUUUGCACCUGCAUGAAUAUAGUUUCUUGGCUUCCAAGGCAUUGAUCCUGGAUAUCCUCAUUCCCACUGUCAUUCACCUAUAAAAUUCAGUCUCUUGUAAAUACAAUAUGAACUCAAAAACAAAUAUGUGAGCAACAAGCAUCAAGCAUGGAAAUUGCAGAUCAUGUCUCUUUUGAGUCUUCUUUCUUCAGUCUUUAGGAAGUGUUUGUUUCUUCAGUCUUCUUUUCUCUGCCUUCAGUCCUUCACUUUCCAGUGUUUCUUGAGUCAUCUUACUAUUCAACCACCAUUCUGUCUUGUUUAUUCAACCCUCUUUUCUCUCUAUCUCUAGUUCUUCAGUUUUCCGUCUCUUUAGAAUCUUUGUUUCAGUGUUUCUGUAGUCUAGUCUUCAGUUUUCAGUACCUUUAUAUAAUUUUGUUUCAGUCAUUAGUGUUUCUUUUAUUCUUUUAGUUUUCAUUACCUAUUAAUCUGACCUCAGCUCAAUCUCUUUAAUCAGUACUCGUGCUAGUAUUUCCUUAGUCUGUGAGCCUGCAUCAUUGUUCAGUCACACUAAAUUUUGUCAAUUUUCUAUAGUUAAUAAUUCAGUUAUCAGUUUCUUUUAAAUUUUUGUCAAUUGUGAUCCUUCCUCACCUAAGUUCUUCAGUUUGUUUCUUAGUCUAUGAGCUUGCAUCAUUGUUCAGUCUAUCAGUCUAUAAGUCCCUAGUGCUUACUCACUCUGUCAUUUUCCAGUAAGUCCCUGCUCAUUUUCUAGCUUUUUUCUGUACCUGUAGGGGUUGGUGUCAUUUUCUUCAGUUAUGUUACUAGUUUCAGUGUUGGGUGUCGUUUUCUUCAGUUUUGUGUGUUACCAGUUACCACAUAGGUAGGUUAGUUAGUAUUCAUUGUUCAUUCUUAAUUUAGUAUUCAUUGUUUCGAUCGUAAGUCCAACACAGCCUACAAGCACUAAGAUUUAGUUAUGCUUGUCUAGACAGUUUUCUUAUUUAUGAGUGUUCAGACCUUCAGUUGCUCCAGUCCAUGUUAAGUCUUCUCAAAUAAAGCUCUCAAUCAUAGUUUCUAGUUUGUCAAGAAAUCCCAGCUAGUUUAGCAAGUUUGUUCAUACAGUUUUCAGUUUAUCUGCAUUUUGUCAUUUCACUACUUUAGCCUCAUAUUUAUUUCUUCACGUCAUUUUUUCGAGAUCAGAUCCAUGCUGGAAAUGGGUCGAAUGGGGCGUCAGUGGUAUCGAAUCCCACCAUGAUCAGAUACAUGCUUUUGAAACUCAGAGAUACAACUCUCAGAGCAAGAUAAUAUUUUAUGGAUCUGCGCCAACAAGCCUACCGACACCUGUGUCGCUUCCAACGGCUCUAGCAGCCAAGGAAUGGCCUGUUUUGCGGGGCCGGGAUUUAAGAUAGAGCUUUUAGAAGAUCAUUGCUCUCGGACGCUAUUCCAAAGCUCAUGCAGAAGUUUGUCACUCUCGUAGUGAACAAGCUCAAGGAGGCCAAGCUCUUCGCAUCACAAGGAGGCCCUAUCAUUCUAGCGCAGAUCGAGAAUGAGUACCAGCACAUGGAAGCGGCGUUCAAAGAAAACGGCACCAGGUACAUCGAAUGGGCAGCUAAGAUGGCCAUCAGCACCGACAUCGGGGUGCCAUGGAUCAUGUGCAAGCAGACUAAAGCUCCAGCGGACGUGAUUCCUACCUGCAACGGUAGGCACUGCGGAGAUACAUGGCCAGGUCCAGUUGACAAGAACAAACCCCUGUUAUGGACCGAGAACUGGACUGCUCAAUACAGAGUAUUCGGUGAUCCUCCGUCUCAGAGAUCUGCCGAGGACAUUGCGUUUGCCGUGGCGCGGUUCUUCUCGGUGGGGGGCAGCAUGGUGAACUACUACAUGUACCACGGAGGAACAAACUUUGGAAGAACGGGUGCCUCUUUCGUGAUGCCGAGAUACUACGACGAGGCGCCUCUCGACGAAUUCGGAAUGUUCAAAGAGCCCAAGUGGGGCCAUCUGAAGGACCUGCACCAUGCUUUGAGGUUGUGCAAGAACGCUCUCCUCUUUGGGACCCCCUCCACGCAGCCAUUGGGCAAGCUCUACGAGGCGCGGGUGUUCGAGAUCCCGGAGCAGAAGGUGUGCGUGGCGUUCCUGUCCAACCACAACACCAAGGAGGACGGGACGGUGACGUUCCGCGGGCAGAAGUACUUCGUGCCCCGGCGGUCUGUCAGCAUCCUGGGCGACUGCAAGACGGUGGUGUUCAGCACGCAAUACGUGAACGCGCAGCACAACCAGCGCACCUUCCACUUCACGGACCAGACGGUGCAGAACAAUGUGUGGGAGAUGUACACGGAGGGGGACCAGGUGCCCACCUACAAGUUCAGCACCGACCGGAGCGAGAAGCCCCUCGAGGCCUACAACAUGACCAAGGACAAGACCGACUACCUCUGGUACACAACCAGCUUCCUGCUGGACCCUGAGGACCUGCCGUCCAGGCUAGACAUCAAGCCGGUGCUGGAGGCGAGCAGCCAUGGGCACGCCAUGGUGGCGUUCGUCAACAAGAAGUUAGUCGGCUGCGGCCAUGGCACAAAGAUGAACAAGGCCUUCAGCCUGGAGAAGCCCAUCGAUGUCAAGGUCGGCAUCAACCACAUCUCCAUCCUGUCCAGCACGCUGGGGUUGCAGGACAGCGGGUCCUACCUGGAGCGCCGGCAGGCCGGCGUGCACUCGGUCACCAUCCAGGGCCUCAACACGGGGACGCUGGACCUCACCAGCAACGGGUGGGGUCACAUCGUGGGCCUGGACGGCGAGCGCAAGCAGGCUUUCACGGAAAAGGGCGGCGAGGUGCAGUGGCAACCCGCGGUGUUCGACAAGCCGCUCACGUGGUACCGGCGGCGCUUCGACAUGCCCAGCGGGGAGGACCCCGUGGUGAUCGACAUGAACCCGAUGGGCAAGGGCAUCCUGUUCGUCAACGGCGAAGGGCUGGGGCGAUACUGGAGCUCGUACAAGCACGCGCUGGGGCGGCCGUCGCAGUACCUGUACCACGUGCCGCGGUGCUUCCUGAAGCCGACGGGGAACGUGCUGACCAUCUUCGAGGAGGAAGGCGGGCGGCCGGACGCCAUCAUGAUCCUGACGGUGAAGCGCGACAACAUCUGCAGCUUCAUCUCGGAGACCAACCCCGGGCACGUACGGUCGUGGGAGACCAAGGACAGCCAGCUGACGAUGGUGGCGGACGACCUGAAGCCGCGGGCGGUGCUGACGUGCCCGGAGAAGAAGAUGAUCCAGCAGGUGGUGUUCGCCAGCUACGGGAACCCGCUGGGGAUCUGCGGCAACUACACGUUUGGCAACUGCCACACGCCCAAGGCCAAGGAGAUUGUGGAGAAGGCGUGCGUGGGGAAGAGGAGCUGCGUGCUGGCCGUGUCGCACGAGGUGUACGGCGGGGACCUCAACUGCCCGGGCACCACGGCCACGCUGGCCGUGCAGGCAAAGUGCUCCAAGAGGCAGAGGACCGCCGAGCAAUAAGUAACCUAAGCUCACAUAUGUACUGCUAUGUAGAUGAUCUCAUCACCUUGACCUUUUUGCCUUUUUCAUGCUUGUUGUUUGGGAUACAUGUUGUACUCAGGUUGUUGAUUCCUGUGAAUUGUUCUAGGAGUAGAUGGAGCGCUGAGAUGAGAAGCAACAUGGAUGGAAAUCAAUCGAUCCAUUUGAUUUGCU
This 4306-nucleotide ribosomal RNA is filed under the name Triticum aestivum (bread wheat). Its description in RNAcentral is "partial small subunit ribosomal RNA". The record is from RNAcentral. Lineage: Eukaryota; Viridiplantae; Streptophyta; Magnoliopsida; Poales; Poaceae.